RNAcentral lists this unclassified non-coding RNA (282 nucleotides) under Hevea brasiliensis (rubber tree). The record is from RNAcentral. Lineage: Eukaryota; Viridiplantae; Streptophyta; Magnoliopsida; Malpighiales; Euphorbiaceae.
UUUUUUUUUUUUUUUUUUUAACCUAUUGUAAUUUUGUAUAUAUGAGUUUAUCUAGUAUUUACCUGAUAAUUUUUCAUUCAUUAUGCUUAAAUUUGGAGCUCUCUUGAUGAUGGGCCUUCCUUAUUUGGUCUAGUUGAUAAGAUGAGUUCCAGUGUUUUCUAAUGCAACCCUGACCAUAUCUCAAACAGAUCCUUUAUGCUUUUUUCCUUUCCGUUUUGGUAAAUUGAAUCUGCUGAGAUAUUUAUGGUUAACAUAACUUUUAGUCAUCUUGUCACAAUAAUU